This is a long non-coding RNA of Cyprinus carpio carpio, 849 nucleotides long. NCBI's taxonomy places the organism in Eukaryota, Metazoa, Chordata, Actinopteri, Cypriniformes, Cyprinidae. The record is from Ensembl.
GUUCCAGAGACCGAGGUGGUGCCCGAGUUGCUUCCAGAGACCGAGGCGGUGCCCGAUGCGCAGGCCGAGAUCGUUCCCGAGGCGGUGGCCGAUGCGCAGGCCGAGGUCGUUCCUGAGGUGGUGCCCGAUGCAGAGGCCGUUCCUGAGGCCGUUCCUGAGGCCGUUCCUGAGGCCGUUCCUGAGACCGUUCCCGAGGCGGUGUCCUGGUCCGAUGCCAUUCCAGAGGCGGUGGCCGAUGCUGUUCCGGAGGCCGAUGCGGGGCCCAAGAUGGCUCCGGAGGCGAUACCCGUGUCCAAGGCCGUUCCCGAGGCGGUGUCCUUGUCUGAGGUCGUUCCUGAUGCCGUUCCCAAUGCCGUGACCGGGCCAUCGCCACAGCCUGCUCCUUACUGGCUCCCCGAUUGGCAGGUUCCGUUCGGGCCACUCAAAUGGCGAAUUCCUCCCUGGCCGUCUGCACAACGAGAAUGGACUGAUCCACCGUGGCCACCUGAACUGCCUGGUCCCUCGUGGUCCCCUGAACUUUCGGGUCCACCGUGGCCACCUGAACUGCCUGGUCCCUCGUGGUCCCCUGAACUUUCGGGUCCACCGUGGCCACCUGAACUGCCUGGUCCCUCGUGGUCCCCUGAACUUUCGGGUCCACCGUGGCCCCCUGAACUGCCUGGUCCCUCGUGGUCCCCUGAACUUUCGGGUCCACCAUGGCCCCCUGAUCUGACCAAGCCACCUGGGCUACCAGGGGAGCCAUCGCUGCCGGUCCCAGUUCCCCUACACGGGCCUGGCCCGCCAUCCCUCCCCCUGUUCUGCCUCCACCAGUCCACCUCCCUCCUGGUCUCUUUGUUUUGUGUUUAUUUGGUU